UGAUUUUUUACAAGGGAAACAUCAAAAGGCAUAUUACUCUGCACGUUACUGCAUUAAAUAUGUGAGACAAUUAAUAGUAUCAUAACGGAACCAAAUGCACCCUGUUUAAUUUCAUUAAAUUUUGGUGUUUAAAACUAGAAGGUUAUUUUAGUACUUUUAACCCAUAGUUUAUACAAAAUUAAUACAAAAAUUCAACUUCUUAAUAAGUGUGCAAAUGAGAAUAUUUGCUUACAAUUGAGGCCAGAGGGAGUAUUACUCUGCACGUUACUGCAUUAAAUAUGUGAGACAAUUAAUAGUAUCAUAACGGAACCAAAUGCACCCUGUUUAAUUUCAUUAAAUUUUGGUGUUUAAAACUAGAAGGUUAUUUUAGUACUUUUAACCCAUAGUUUAUACAAAAUUAAUACAAAAAUUCAACUUCUUAAUAAGUGUGCAAAUGAGAAUAUUUGCUUACAAUUGAGGCCAGAUUUUCUCCUAUCAAUAACCAAUGUGAACUGCAACUACAUCACCAAUCUUUGUCUUUCAUCAGCAUCCUCAUGCUCCACCUCAACAAGGA
Molecule: long non-coding RNA, 553 nt
Filed under: Lotus japonicus
Lineage: Eukaryota; Viridiplantae; Streptophyta; Magnoliopsida; Fabales; Fabaceae
Description: long non-coding RNA (LJAP_LNC000590)
Source: RNAcentral